GUGUCAGCAGCCGCGGUAAGACGAACUGCCCAAACGUUGUUCGGAAUCACUGGGCUUAAAGGGCGCGUAGGCGGCGAUACAAGUCAGGGGUGAAAUCCGGCAGCUCAACUGUCGAAGUGCCUUUGAUACUGUAUCGCUCGAGGGAGGUAGGGGUCUGUGGAACUUCUGGUGGAGCGGUGAAAUGCGUUGAUAUCAGAAGGAACGCCGGUGGCGAAAGCGACGGACUGGACCUUUUCUGACGCUGAGGCGCGAAAGCUAGGGGAGCAAACGGGAUUAGAUACCCCGGUAGUCC
RNAcentral lists this ribosomal RNA (292 nucleotides) under uncultured bacterium. RNAcentral describes it as "partial 16S ribosomal RNA". It matches the Rfam family "Bacterial small subunit ribosomal RNA", at positions 505 to 796 of the family's 1533-position model. The record is from RNAcentral.